RNAcentral lists this unclassified non-coding RNA (255 nucleotides) under Hevea brasiliensis (rubber tree). The record is from RNAcentral. Lineage: Eukaryota; Viridiplantae; Streptophyta; Magnoliopsida; Malpighiales; Euphorbiaceae.
UUUUUUCCAAUUCCGUUUUGUGAUAAUGGGAUAUCUUUUCUAGACUGCCCCUUCAUAGUCCCUCUACCUCUUCCUGCACCAGCAAGUGCUCCACCACGCGCCAUAGAUUUCUUAUUCCCACGGCCUGGCCACCUCUAUGAAAAAUUCCCGGAUUCUCACCCUCCCACCUUAUAUCUUCAGGAGAAAUCUCUUUCAGGUUAACCCAUUCCCAUGUUUCAUCCACUGUAUUAAUAUCAUAAACCAAAGCAUGCCUCC